RNAcentral lists this long non-coding RNA (1926 nucleotides) under Homo sapiens (human). RNAcentral describes it as "HSALNT0381371". The record is from RNAcentral. Lineage: Eukaryota; Metazoa; Chordata; Mammalia; Primates; Hominidae.
CGUCACUUCCUCCCCGGCGGCCUCCGCGGCCCUGGCGCCCGGUUACUAUGGCAAUGCCGCCGCUCGCCCCGGGGCGCUAGUUUGGGGCCGGGUUUUCGGUGCAGGUGCCCGGCGGGUGCGAGGGCGCUGGAGAUGGCGGCUGGGAGACACCAGCAGAGUCCCGGAAGCCCGAGACGUCCCAGGCACUUCGGUUGCGCUCCCAGCCGGCAGAGGCGCGCCUGGAUUCUGAGACCAGGAAUCGGAGCUGCGCUAUUAGAGCGCAGGGCUGGAGUACAGUGGUGUGAUCCUAACUCAAGCAACCCUCCUGCCUUGGCCCCCCAAAGUGUUGGGAUUACAGGCAUGAGCCACCAUGCCUAGCUCCACAUCAGGUAUUUCUAAUGAGAAUUGAACCUACAAAUUGAAAUGUAAGUAUAAAAUAUACAGCAGAUUUCAAAGACAGUGGGAAAAAAUGUACAAUAUCUCUAUUGAUACUUUAAAAAUAUUGAUCACAUGUUGAAAUGGUAGUACUUUAGAUAUGUUGGGUUUAUUUUUAAUUUUUCAAAAUGUGGCUAAUAGAAAAUUUAAAGUUAUAUAUGUAGCUUACAUAAUAUUUCUAUUUGCUGUAGGAUUCAGUGGCUUACCCAGCACUUCAGAAGACAUUUGAAAAUCAGUCAUGUUCCUCAACCAAGUGAUGCCUUUUAGCGGUGCAAAUUCUGUGCUUAGGAAACUUGCUGCUUGCCCUAAUCUUUUCUUUUUUUGUUUUAAAAUGUGUCAUGUGGCAUUUAAUUGUCCUCAUCUUAUCAAGGGUUCAGUGCACCCUAAUGAGACUUGAAUGCAUCACAAAAUGAUUGUUUCAGAAAGAUUGCUUCAACAACAGAAGAUGGAGAUGGGAAGAGAAUGGUGGGGGAUGUGGUAGCAAAGAAGCUAUUCCAAUGAUCCAACCUCAAGAUCAUGCAAAUGUGAACUAAAGCAAUGGCAUCAGGAUGGAGCAGAGAAGAUGGACUGGAGAGAGUUUUAGGAGAUGGAGGAAGGUAGCCUGGGCCCAACUGAACUCACUGUGUAUUCAGAAAAUAACCCACAGUUGGGAAAUUCACAGUGCCAUUGCUUUGAAUCAAAUCCUUACUUCAUACCAGGAUGUACCAUGAUUCUUGGCAACAUGACUGGGUAUUGAUGUCUUGUCUAGCCAAUGAAAUCCACAUAGCAAAGAUGUUAUGAAGACAUGGAAACAUGAAUAUGAAAUAAAAUCAGUAUAGCUAUUUGGAUGAUUAGCUAUCGACACAAGACAGUCCCUGGUAAUUGCCUUUAAUAGUAAGGUAGCACUAGGCCAUGAAAGGUGCUUCAGUGUACCUGCCUCAUUUGUGGCUCCCUUUUGGCCAUGUGACCCUAACUCCCCUGGUCACAAGUGGCUGAACCAGCAAUCAAUACCUGACCUGAAGGCAACCCUCUAUAGGCUGGCAAGUGGCCUACAAAGUUGCUCAGUGCUAGAGAACUGAGCCCAACAGAAGUACAUUCUAAUGUUUAGUGAUUGGCCAAUCGUAUUCUUUGUGAUGGUGCUGAUGGGAAGGUAGUGAUGUGCAUCAGACAUGCAGAGUUAGUAGCAGCUGGAGCAGACACAGAAGCCUCCCUAACAAUGGGCAAUGGAGAAAGGAACAACAGACAGUUCUGAAAGAAUACCAAGUGCUCCUAAGCCAAAAGCUAUAGUUAGGCUGCUGGAGGUACUGCCAGUCCUAAAUGAUGGCAAUGAUGGUCCAUUUUUCUGUGAAACUUGACUGUAUACCUGUUAAGAUUUUUUUGUGUUCUUUUUAAGGCUCCAUGAAUGAAUCUUUCCAAUAAACAAGUUUGUAACAAAGGCAACCUGAACAUUUCUGAUACUUGAAACUUGAAAAUAUCUAAUACAAUUUUACAUCACUUUCAAAUCAUGAGUGAAGAAGUUAAUGUGUUAUUGAA